This 377-nucleotide ribosomal RNA is filed under the name marine sediment bacterium BB0608_2216_3.2_5S0. RNAcentral describes it as "bacterial SSU rRNA". It matches the Rfam family "Bacterial small subunit ribosomal RNA", at positions 56 to 436 of the family's 1533-position model. The record is from RNAcentral.
UGCAGUCGAGCGGUAACAGAGAGUAGCUUGCUCCUUUGCUGACGAGCGGCGGACGGGUGAGUAGUGCUUGGGAACGUGCCUUGAGGUGGGGGACAACAGUUGGAAACGACUGCUAAUACCGCAUAAUGUCUACGGACCAAAGGGGGCUUCGGCUCUCGCCUUUAGAUUGGCCCAAGUGGGAUUAGCUAGUUGGUGAGGUAAUGGCUCACCAAGGCGACGAUCCCUAGCUGGUUUGAGAGGAUGAUCAGCCACCCUGGGACUGAGACACGGCCCACACUCCUACGGGAGGCAGCAGUGGGGAAUAUUGCACAAUGGGCGCAAGCCUGAUGCAGCCAUGCCGCGUGUGUGAAGAAGGCCUUCGGGUUGUAAAGCACUUU